AGGGAAUGCCCUCCUCGCUGUGCCCCGGGGCAGAAGCGGACUGCAGGGCGGUGGGACCGGCCUGGGCCACGAUUUCCAUAAAAUAACAAGGAAUAUUGUGAUGUUGGGUGGCAGUGUGCCUGAGGGAAAAGAAUACAGAGCCCUGCUGGAGUGCCACACGGGACACAGAGGAAAAUGUCGCUGCCCUCACCUGUGCCAUCGCCUGGCUUACACACCUUUGCGGAGCGCCACUACUUCUUUCUGUGAAACCACUGUAAGUGCAGUUCCUGGGUACUUAAAAAUGCAAGGUGGAGCUUCUGCUUCCGAAUGCAUUACAUGAGGUGAAGAACAAUGGUGAAGGUGUGGGUCUGCUAAGCAGUCCAGCGAGUCACAAGUGCAGGCAGACCAUUAAAAGUUAAGUAAAUUGAAACAUUAAAAUUCAGCGAGAAAUACGUCUAUAUGGCAGUUUCCAGGCGCCCCAGUGAUGUUAAGUUUCUGUGUCAUCUCAAGUUUCCUCCACUUGCUUUGAGCUACAAAGGAACCCAGCCAUAAUAGAACUUUGGGUCUAUGUGAUACCUUGAUAUAGGAAUGGAAAAUAACACCCCUCCUCUCAAGAGGUCAAGUGCCUGCCACGCUGGACCCAAGUCAAACUAUCUCCCUUCCAGUCUGGCUUUGUAUGACGGGACUUCAAAAACUUCAUGGAAAAAGGAAAUUAAGAGGUACAUUUAUUUUGCCGCCAAAAAGUCAAAAUCUAUGCACAGUGUUUGCAGAAUACACAUUUCCUUUAAGCCUUUUCAAUGAGCUAUUAGGCAGAAGUUAAGUCACAGAAUAACAGAUGUAAUUUAUACUCAACAUAUAAGGAAGUAGGUACUGAAAAUUUUAAGUUUUGCUUUCCACCUGUUGGUUCACUCCCCAAGUGGCCACAACAGACAUGGGCCAAUCCUCCGAUUCUCCACCCUACUUAAGUGUAUCCAUUAGGGACAUUGUGGUGUAGCAGGUUAAGCUGAUACUUGCAAUGUCCCAUAUAGAUGCAGGUUCGAGCCCCAGCUGCUCUACUUCUGAUCUAGCCCCUAUUAAUGCUCCUGGGAAAGGAGCAGAAGAUGACCCAAGUGCUUGGGACCCUGCCACCCACAUGGGAGACCCAUAUGGGGUUUCAUGUUCCUGAUUUUGGCCUGGUCCAUUUCUGGCUGUUGUGGCCACUUGGAGAGAAUGAUAAAUGAUCAUUCUCUCUCUCUUCCUCCCUGU
Molecule: long non-coding RNA, 1224 nt
Organism: Lepus europaeus (European hare)
Lineage: Eukaryota; Metazoa; Chordata; Mammalia; Lagomorpha; Leporidae
Exons: 3
Source: RefSeq, a predicted model, not a curated record